The sequence is a ribosomal RNA, 306 nucleotides long. It matches the Rfam family "Bacterial small subunit ribosomal RNA", at positions 46 to 345 of the family's 1533-position model.
GCUUAACACAUGCAAGUCGAACGAGAACGGAUUAUAGCUUGCUAUAAUUGUCAGCUAAGUGGCGCACGGGUGAGUAAUGUAUAGGUAAUAUGCCUCUUACUAAGGGAUAACAAUUGGAAACGAUUGCUAAUACCUUAUACUCCUUACUAACUAAAGUUAGUAAGGGAAAGAUUUAUUGGUAAGAGAUUAGCCUGUAUUGUAUCAGUUAGUUGGUGGGGUAAUGGCCUACCAAGACAAUGACACAUAACUGGUUUGAGAGGAUGAUCAGUCACACUGGAACUGAGACACGGUCCAGACUCCUACGGG